AACGAACGCUGGCGGCAUGCCUAACACAUGCAAGUCGAACGACACCUUCGGGUCUAGUUGCUCAUGGGUGCGUAACGCGUGGGAACCUGCCCUUAGGUUCGGAAUAACUCCCCGACGUGGGUGCUAAUACCGGGUAAUUUCUUCUAACCAAAGAUUUAUCGCCUUUGUAUGGGCCCGCGUUGGAUUAGCUAGUUGGUAUGGUAAAAGCCUACCAAGGCGACGAUCCAUAGCUGGUCUGAGAGGAUGAUCAGCCACACUGGGACUGAGAAACGGCCCAGACUCCUACGGGAGGCAGCAGUGGGGAAUAUUGGACAAUGGGCGAAAGCCUGAUCCAGCAAUGCUGCGUGAGUGAUGAAGGCCUUAGGGUUGUAAAGCUCUUUUACCCGGGAUGAUAAUGACAGUACCGGGAGAAUAAGCUCCGGCUAACUCCGUG
RNAcentral lists this ribosomal RNA (433 nucleotides) under uncultured bacterium. Its description in RNAcentral is "partial 16S ribosomal RNA". It matches the Rfam family "Bacterial small subunit ribosomal RNA", at positions 29 to 507 of the family's 1533-position model. The record is from RNAcentral.